AACAUUAUAAGCUAAGCAAUAUAAAUCUCUUUUAUUACACCUCUCUACUUAUCUCUGGGCAAGCUCGUUGGCCGUGAAACAAAUAGUUCCGUAGGCGAAAGGUGGCUAUAAAAUUGGGACUAUUUAUACCUGCGGAAAUAUACUCGUGCGCAGCCCUCAAAUAUAACGGUAUCUUUCUUUCCUUGUGUGUGCCCCCUUGCUCGCAGCUGUUGCCAUUUCGGAUGCCCAGGUAAAUAUCUACGCAAAAGAUGAUCCCGACCUAAAUUUGGAAAAGGGACCGUUGGCUUUGGUUCGUGUAGCGUCUGUGCGAGUAGUCGGUAGCGUUCUUGUAGUCUCCAUGAAAAGUCUCGUGAAAAGAAGUGCGUGCAAGUGUGAAAUUUCAAAAUGUCUGAAGUCAAGCCAAACUGCGUUUUUUGUCGAAAAGCAACAGGAAAAUUGCAACAAUUCGUCAUUAAUACUUUGAAUAAAAGUGCACAUAUUCUUUCAAUUCGCAAGGCAAACAUUUUAGAUUUAAAUAGCAUUAUUAUACCUCAAGAAGUAAAUGAUUGUCAGAGAUACCACUCAAGUUGUUAUUCAAAGUUUACAGCAGUGUCAAUAAAAUAUCAAGUUGUUCCAGCAAAACAGAAACCAUCGAAAUCAACAUCAAAUGUACAUGUAGAAGGAUAAAGUGUUCACGAUGACAGCAGUGCAGGGCCAUCAACGUUAAAAGCAAAUCCUGAUGUGGAAAAAGAAAGUUUUCAUGACGAUAACUCUGCGGAAUCAUUAACAUCAACACCAAUUUUAAAUAAGGUUCGAUUCAGACGCUCUAUCAUGCCGUCAGUUUGCGGAAGCAAAGGAGCCGUACGAGUUUUUCUAACCCCUAAAAUCUGAGUAACCUCUUUCACUAAGGUUGACUCAAAAUUUCGGCCUUGAUC
Long non-coding RNA from Neodiprion fabricii, 914 nucleotides. RefSeq lists it as uncharacterized. Lineage: Eukaryota; Metazoa; Arthropoda; Insecta; Hymenoptera; Diprionidae. The record is from RefSeq and is a predicted model, not a curated record. The transcript has 4 exons.